RNAcentral lists this ribosomal RNA (253 nucleotides) under uncultured bacterium. Its description in RNAcentral is "partial 16S ribosomal RNA". It matches the Rfam family "Bacterial small subunit ribosomal RNA", at positions 524 to 776 of the family's 1533-position model. The record is from RNAcentral.
UACGUAGGGUCCGAGCGUUGUCCGGAAUUAUUGGGCGUAAAGGGCUCGUAGGCGGUCCGUCACGUCGGGAGUGAAAACUCAGGGCUCAACCCUGAGCGUGCUUCCGAUACGGGCGGACUAGAGGUAUGCAGGGGAGAACGGAAUUCCUGGUGUAGCGGUGGAAUGCGCAGAUAUCAGGAGGAACACCGGUGGCGAAGGCGGUUCUCUGGGCAUUACCUGACACUGAGGAGCGAAAGCAUGGGGAGCGAACAGG